Long non-coding RNA from Anas platyrhynchos (mallard), 1680 nucleotides. RefSeq lists it as uncharacterized. NCBI's taxonomy places the organism in Eukaryota, Metazoa, Chordata, Aves, Anseriformes, Anatidae. The record is from RefSeq and is a predicted model, not a curated record.
UGCUGCUAUCUGGGACAACUCCAUACAGCUGGUCAGGACCAGUUUCAGGUGGUGGAAAGGGAAGUCCAACACAGGCUGUGGUUUUCUUACCUAGCAUGUCCCCAGUAUCACCCAUAGAUGUGAGCUUCUGUUGAAGGGAGCUAUACCAACUGGAGCCUGGAUUCAGGGUAGUCUUGGUGCAUUCGCAACCCUUGUGCUUUAAUAACAUGAUGCAGCCAGAAAAAGGUGGCAUAAUGGAAUGCUAGCUUGGAGCCUUUCAAUUCAGAGCACCUACAGUGGAACCCAAACUGGUAAGUUCCUUUGCCAGGUUCCUGACGUGCAUCCAGCAAUUCAGAACUCCCGCAGGGAUCCGGCGUCCAUUGCUUAGAAACAGAAGGCACCGAGUUAGCAGGAGAAUGAGGGCUGCCAUCCCAGGCUGUACGACUGACAGCCUGAUGCCAAGCCAAUAGCCUGGGAGUUGAAAUCUGGACCAGACAUUUUGGGCCAAAAGAAGUCUUAUUCAAGUGUGUGAAUGUGUGGAUGUGCUGUUGCAAUGGCACGCUGCCUUUCUCUGUGCUAAGAAGUUAUCCGAGUGAUUCACAGGCUGAUGGCUGGAGUCAUAAUGUUUACUCUUUCCAUGAAGGUUGUUCCCCCAAAACCCCCACAUCAGCCCUUAAAUACUGUUGAAGACUCUGCAGUGGGAUGUAUGAGAGCUCUGCAUGUUCUCUGCAGAUAAGAAAACCCCUAUCCCAUGGAGAGAUACUUUCCUGAUGAAAAGGAAAGGAGUGGAGCAAGGAUGCUGUAUGUUAGGGUAAAGCUGUCCCCUGAACUCCCAGCCCCGAGGGCAUUUAUGCUGUGUAUAAAUAAACAUGGUGUCAGCACAGCACACAUUGCGUGGACUUCCACCAGACACAGCUCACCUUCACCACACAAAUGAUCAAAACCCAUUCCUCUCCUUUUGACUCAAUUGGUUUUACAUCUUUGUUCUUUGUGAAGCCUUUUACUCCCAUCCUGUUAAAGGAUUCUGCACCUCAGAGGCAAUUUGGGUGAAUUCGAUGUCAGGGAUGCCAAUCCUAGCUUCGGCCCAGGGUCUGCACUGAAGAUCCUUCCCAUGUGCCGGAAGAAGGCUGCUGUGCUGUGCUCUUUUCUAAGUUUUAUCAUUUUUUUUUUUUUACUAUUUGUGGUACAGAAUUGAAAGUUAAAUGCAGUAAAUCUACCUCUUACUGCUACACUAGAAAACUUGUGGCAGAAAAAGCUCAUUAUUGCCCAAGGAAGAUGAACACAGAUUUGCUUAGAAGACUCUUUUAACUUGCAGACAACCUUAAGUUGACAAACCUGUGUUUUUUUCUAUUUUGUUCUCAACUCUGGGGACAGAUCCUGAGGUCAUUGCUCUAUUAUAUCUUUGCUUGGGAGAUGUUAAGCAGUUAAAGAUUUAAACUCUGUGCUGUGUCGCUGUCUUGUUGGUAUUGAUAAACAGCUAUAUGAAGGCAACAUUUGUUCUCCAAACAGAUUUUUUUUUUCUCUUAGAUUUCUUUUCAGUCAAGCUUGCAAUUUCAUAAAUUUAUUAAAUGAACAUAAAACAUCUGGUAGUUAGUCUCUUCCCUGUGGAGUCUGCUUCAUGUGAAAUGUUAUUUCUGUUCAAAUAGUAGCUUCUGGAGUAUCAUUUUUGCAAAAGAAUAAAUUGUCUGUUGAAUUAAUGAA